This is a non-coding RNA of Podarcis lilfordi (Lilford's wall lizard), 176 nucleotides long. The record is from the annotation of a GenBank genome assembly. Lineage: Eukaryota; Metazoa; Chordata; Lepidosauria; Squamata; Lacertidae.
AACUAAGUUUGUUCUGGGUAUAAGCUUUCAUGUGCAUGCACACUUCUUCAAUCACCCAUCUCCUACUACUCUUCUGAGAAAAACCCCACCCCACCCUCCCACUAUAUAUAAGGGUCAGUGUAUCUGAAGAAGUAUACAUGCACACGAAAGCUUAUACCCAGAACAAACUUAGCUGG